RNAcentral lists this ribosomal RNA (429 nucleotides) under Actinomycetes bacterium. RNAcentral's name for it is "Actinobacteria bacterium partial 16S ribosomal RNA". It matches the Rfam family "Bacterial small subunit ribosomal RNA", at positions 355 to 776 of the family's 1533-position model. Lineage: Bacteria; Bacillati; Actinomycetota; Actinomycetes. The record is from RNAcentral.
UAGGGAAUCUUCCGCAAUGGGCGAAAGCCUGACGGAGCAACGCCGCGUGAGUGAUGAAGGUCUUCGGAUCGUAAAACUCUGUUAUUAGGGAAGAACAAAUGUGUAAGUAACUAUGCACGUCUUGACGGUACCUAAUCAGAAAGCCACGGCUAACUACGUGCCAGCAGCCGAGGUAAUACGUAGGUGGCAAGCGUUAUCCGGAAUUAUUGGGCGUAAAGCGCGCGUAGGCGGUUUUUUAAGUCUGAUGUGAAAGCACACGGCUCAACCGUGGAGGGUCAUUGGAAACUGGAAAACUUGAGUGCAGAAGAGGAAAGUGGAAUUCCAUGUGUAGCGGUGAAAUGCGCAGAGAUAUGGAGUAACACCAGUGGCGAAGGCUACUUUCUGAUCUGUAACUGACGCUGAUGUGCGAAAGCGUGGGGAUCAAACAGG